CGGGGGGAGCAAGCGUUGUUCGGAUUUACUGGGCGUAAAGGGCGCGUAGGCGGCCACCGCAAGUCGACUGUGAAAUCUCCGGGCUUAACCCGGAAAGGUCAGCCGAUACUGCGGGGCUAGAGUGCAGAAGGGGCAACUGGAAUGCUCGGUGUAGCGGUGAAAUGCGUAGAUAUCGAGAGGAACACCUGCGGCGAAGGCGGGUUGCUGGGCUGACACUGACGCUGAUGCGCGAAAGCUAGGGGAGCGAACGGGAUUAGAUACCCCGGUAGUCCUAGCCUUAAACGAUGAAUGCUUGGUGUCUGGGGUUUUAUAGUCCCCGGGUGCCGUCGCUAACGCUUUAAGCAUUCCGCCUGGGGAGUACGGUCGCAAGACUG
RNAcentral lists this ribosomal RNA (374 nucleotides) under uncultured organism. RNAcentral describes it as "bacterial SSU rRNA". It matches the Rfam family "Bacterial small subunit ribosomal RNA", at positions 526 to 896 of the family's 1533-position model. The record is from RNAcentral.